CUUGGUCAUUUAGAGGAAGUAAAAGUCGUAACAAGGUUUCCGUAGGUGAACCUGCGGAAGGAUCAUUCAUAAUAAGUGUUUUAUGGCACUUUUAAAAAUCCAUAUCCACCUUGUGUGAAAUGUCUGUCGCUUGCUUUUUUCUUCGGAAAAAAGGGGUGGCUCUACAUCAACUCAUUUUAAAUACUUUGUCUGAAAACUAUUAUGAAUAAACUAAUUCAAAAUACAACUUUCAACAACGGAUCUCUUGGCUCUCGCAUCGAUGAAGAACGCAGCGAAAUGCGAUACGUAAUGUGAAUUGCAGAAUUCAGUGAAUCAUCGAAUCUUUGAACGCAUAUUGCGCUCUUUGGUAUUCCGAAGAGCAUGCUUGUUUGAGUAUCAGUAAACACCUCAACACUCUCGAUUUGUUUCGAAUGAGUGUUGGAUUUGAGCAAACCCAACGCCUUUCUGCUAGUCAGACUUGCGGCGGGUUGCUUGAAAUGCAGGUGCAGCUGAGUUUUCUUCUGAGCUAAUAGCAUACUUAAUUAGUCCCGUAAAAAGGAUUAUUAAUCUGCUGAAGCUUACACCAAAGGAAGAGCUCUUGGCUGACUGAUGCAGAAUUACGCUUAGCUGGCAACAGCUUUGUAAAACUCGAUCUCAAAUCAAGUAAGACUACCCGCUGAACUUAAGCAUAUCAAUAAGCGGAGGAAAAGAAACUAACAAGGAUUCCCCUAGUAACGGCGAGUGAAGCGGGAUGAGCUCAAAUUUAAAAUCUGGCUGGUUUACUAGUCCGAAUUGUAGUUUAAAGAAGCGUUUUCCGUGGCAGCCUGGGUAUAAAUCCUUUGGAACAGGGUAUCAUAGAGGGUGAGAAUCCCGUCUUUGACUCAGUGCAUGCUACUAUGUGAUACGUUUUCAAAGAGUCGAGUUGUUUGGGAAUGCAGCUCAAAAUGGGUGGUAAAUUUCAUCUAAAGCUAAAUAUUGGCGAGAGACCGAUAGCGAACAAGUACCGUGAGGGAAAGAUGAAAAGAACUUUGAAAAGAGAGUUAAACAGUGCGUGAAAUUGUUGAAAGGGAAACGCUUGACACCAGUCAUGCGGGUGGAAAAUCAAUCUUUUGCAGUGGGGAGUGGUGGGCGUUCAGACCGCAAGGCUGGCGUUUGCUUCAUCUUUGUUGUAAGUGAUGCACUUUUUCAUCUGCAGGUCAACAUCAGUUUGUUCUGCUGGACAAAACUCCAAGAGAAGGUAGCAGCUUAGGCUGUGUUAUGGCUCUGGAGCGAUACAGUGGAGUGGACUGAGGUUUUCGCAGCAUGUGCUCUCGGGCAAGGCUGAUUGGGUGCUAUGGGAUCGUUCGGCGUACAAUGCUUGCAUUUUGCGUCGUGUCUUUUCUGUACUCGCUCAACUCGGCUCUUCCAUGCUUAGGAUGUUGACUUAAUGGUUUUAAUCGACCCGUCUUGAAACACGGACC
This 1439-nucleotide ribosomal RNA is filed under the name uncultured fungus. Its description in RNAcentral is "eukaryotic LSU rRNA". The stretch from base 629 to 1439 matches the Rfam family "Eukaryotic large subunit ribosomal RNA", at positions 1 to 667 of the family's 3401-position model. The record is from RNAcentral. Lineage: Eukaryota; Fungi.